Molecule: long non-coding RNA, 7341 nt
Organism: Oncorhynchus tshawytscha (Chinook salmon)
Lineage: Eukaryota; Metazoa; Chordata; Actinopteri; Salmoniformes; Salmonidae
Source: Ensembl
CACCCACCAAAUGGGAACAAACGUACCAAGAACGUUUUGGUUCAGUACAAACAGUUCCGCAACGUAGCAAACGUUCAAGCGAAUUGAACGCACCUCAGAAAAAAAUUACCGUAGCAAACGUAGUUGGCGUGGUUGAUGAAACUGGAGUCAAAGGAGCAAUUUGAGGAUUACGGGUUUUAACAGACAAUGUGUUUUUAGGAUAGGAUAAUCUGUAAAUGCCUUUUCAGAAAAAGUUACCGUAGAAAACGUAGUUGGUGUGGCUGCUGAAACUGGAGUCAAAGGAGCAAUUUGAGGAUUACGGGUUUUAACGGACAAGGUGUCUUUAGAAUAAUCUGUAAGUACAUUUUCUAAAAUAUAAUUUUAGGUCUAUCUCUUACUAACAUGAAGUAAAUAGGUAUCUGUCCAUGCUGGACAGCAGAUACCUCAAACUGUAGGCUAAUAUUUUCUGACUAAAGCAAGGCAAUUCUGUAAGGCAGUGUUUAUUUGACCGACUAAAAAGGAAGAAAGUAGGCUAUAUUAGGCUAAAUGAUCCUGCCUAUGAUAUUGUGAUUUAUUAAUACAUUUUCGAAUUCCAAAAGCGCAUAGCAACUCAGACGAGCAUGAUGCACACGUGACCCAGGGUUUGUCCAUCGUAGCUGACUAAACUCAACCCAUCGUGAAGGAAGUUUCUGAUUAACUCCAACGGAGUCGAGCAGAGAACAGGCUUUGUGGAAUUAAUCUCCGACUAAAUAGAUUCGCUCAAGGUCAAUACUUUAAAAAAAAAAUAUUUAGUUCAGAAACGCAUACCUUGAAUCUCAGACGACAGGCUGAGGUCUCCAAAUACUUAUUGAGCAUGCGCAUUUUCGCUUUGUUGCCAUCUUCGAGAAACAUAAAUGAGCAUGCAGUCAAUGGUAUUUUAUUAACUUUUGAAAACUUAUAGAUUUCAGCAAACAAAGGCACGCAUCUACAGAGGACAAACAUAGGUACAAGAAAUGGUUACGUUCUGCCAUACCACAUGGCAGAAGGCGAGACUGAGAAGCCAAGGAGAAUGCAGACUACCUGGCCCCAAAGUGGACCGGAUCGAUCAGUCACUGGACAAUCCUCAAGUCCUCAAGUCACCAGUGGUCAGCUGAGUGGGAAUCCGAGCACCUCUUCUCAUCAAUAUGGGAUGGUCAGACCAUCGGUGGCGUAUACACUAGGUAGGGAAGUCGGACCAGUGGUCCCAUAUACUCAAGGUGGUGAAUGCUUACCACACAGCAGUCAAGUAACCAGUGUAGGUUACUUGAGUGGACAGACCCAGAAUCAACAGGCACCCACAAAAGAGCAGACCCUAAUGGCCACUAGUCCCCUUUUGACAUCACUCUUGACUAACAAUGCAGCUGCACAAUCAACUAGUGUUACAUCACAAAGUGGAUACCAUCACACCCUGCCUGGAAGGGUUAACGAUGCUUUUCAAACCACUUUCCAGCAGGAACAUAGGUCUUUGGGUGUUAAUGGUAACAAUUCACAGAGGUUGGUACAGGAUGGUCAGGGUGCAACCAUUCACUGCCCCUCUGAUAUUAAUGCAUCACUGAAUACAAAUUGUAUUUAUCUCCAAAGACCAGCAAGUGGCAGUCAGCAGCUGGUACUUGGCAGACAAGAGGGGACCUCCAGUGGUACCUCUGCUGCUCUUGCAAUGGGUAGGAGUCCCAAUCAUGUCAAUCAUCAAUGGACUGUAGUGAGUGGAAAGGAUUCAAGUAGGAUGGCGGUUCAAGCUCUUCAUCAGGGAUAUCCACAAACACCAAACUCUUUGCAAAUUGCACAGGAGACAAGUAGUGUGCCAUCGAGGACAUCUCCACAGUCUCCCACAGCAUAUAAACAACUCUAUUUGAUUCUAAAUCAAAACAAUAACAACAGGACUGAGAUGAACAGGGUUCAACAUAGCACACCUGUCCAAACUGACCCAUCAAACCACAGUCAAAUGUAUCCCUUCCAACCUCUCACGGACAGCAACAACCAGGUCAAUCUACCAAAUGCUACAGUGGGGCAGUCAAUGCCAAUGCAUAACAUUAGCCAGAAUCCUCAAUACAAUGUUAUGCAUAACCCUUCUCUUAAUAAUUUUCAAAGAUAUCGCCCUGCAGGCCUUACCAACCCACCACAACAGAACAGACUUGUGUCAAAUUGUGCAAAUAUGAACAGUCAGGCAGGGGCCAUUAAAAAUAAUGCACACCAUGCCCCAUAUCCUAGGCCCCAUAUCGAAGGCGUAUCCAACCUACAUUACAAGGCAGACGUUCUGGUGUCCAACACUGGACCAUCUUCAUCUGUGCCAAACAAUGGUAUACAGUCUUCAGUCGAGCACACCCGUGAGUCCGCUCCUCCACCAUACCCAGGCCAGCGCUCACAUGGACCCAUGCUGAACAAGACUGGAUAUGUGGUUGGGGCAGGAGCACAUUCUCUGCAAUACAUACCAAACCAAGGCUCAGCCCAUACCCUACAUUACAAGCCAAAAAACACCUAUGUUCUGACAUCCAACACUGGACAAUCUUCAUCUGUGCUAAACCAUGGUAUGCAGUUUUCAGGCCAGCAAAACUGUGAGUCUGUGCCACCGUCAUACCCCAUAAGACAGGGCUAUUACGUAACGGUAACAGAGGACAAAAGUGGAAAUGGAUUUAGAGCAGAAAAGGUUAUUUUGAUAGGAGAUAAACCUAAUGAAAGUGCUCUGGUACGGCAAGGAUCAUCUGCAAUUAAUGCCCCCUCUGUUCCUACGGUGCAGAAGGCCAUCGCCGUUGUACAACCACUAUCGCAGUGUAUGCAGACAAACACAUCUCUCAACGUGGCUGAUAGAAUGCCCUUGACUACCCAAGGUAUGUCGUUCUCAACUAGUGAUGAAAAUGUGAGCAACCCUGGGGAAGAAUCUUGUGACCAGAGUCCAUCACAAGCCCAAACAACCCUUACUGUAUCUGCUUCUUUGACAAAUGAAUUUGAACAAAAGGUCCCCAAGGUCAGACCAGAAGCUACAUUAGAAUUGGGUGCUGGAAGAACAGUGACUCAGGAUUCAGAAACUUCAGUUGUUGAACUGGCCAAGACAUAUUCAUAUUUUGAGUCUGAACCGUCACUAUCGAACUGCUUACAUGUAGAGAAAGUUGAUUCUCAACCAUUAUCUAAUUUGAAAUGUCAAGCCACUCAGAGAAAAGAGUUAGCUGGCACAGAAAUGACCACUCAUGUGCAUGUUAACCAAUUGAGUGAGGAAACAAAUGAAAAACUAGUUUCAGAUGAGGACAUUUUUGAGUUGUCCUCAGUUCCUGUAAUCAAAUGGAGACUUGGUAAAUUGAAGGAGUUGGUAGACACUGUGCAACAUCCAAAAUGCUCUGAGACACUGGUUGAAAGCAAGCUACUAAGCCUCUAUUGGGAUGGAGAUGGGCAGAAGCUUAUAGAUGCUGUAAGAUCUGGUAUCUUCCAGAAUAUAAUGCGAGAGGUUAGAUCUGUGUGUGGCAAAGAUAUGUCAUCACAGUCUGUCAUAUUUUCACAAGUCAGGCGCAAAAACUGGGCUCAAGUUGAAGAGAAGUGUGUCAUUCUUAAACAUGAUUCUGUUUACCCCGUUGUCCCGGGUCAAGAGUCCUCGUGGCUGAACACCAAUAAGCAGCUUGAUGACAUAGACAGGGAGUUUGGAUUCCCUUCGUCACUAAUAUAUCACCAACAGACUUUUCGAAGAGGAGAUGAACAACCAAAACGGAAUUGUACCGAAAAUGAAAAUUCUGUAGAAAAUGAAGACUCUGCCAGUGACAUGCAGACUGAGGUGAUUCAGACAGAGAGACCAGCACCCUCUGAAUCUGAUCCUAAAGAAAUUCAAGGGUCAAGUUUGGCACACAGCUCUACACACACCCUCUCACCAGUUAAGAAAGAAAGUGAAAACACCAUUUUAUGUGACCCAUUUUCCUCCCUGGAGAUCAACGUGCUGACACCAGAAGAGGCUAUGCGGUUUUUCAAUGGCCAGCUACUGCAAGACAAAGUGGGAGAAGACCAGUUGAAAUUGCCAGUGGAUGUGGAGCUGAAUGAGUUGAAAGAUUACUCCGUGGAGGAUAAAUCAUCUGAGAGAGUAGAUGUAAAGUUGACGACUGUAAAAUAUGAAUUGGAUGUCCAAUCGGAAGAUUACUGUUGUCUCUCACGUUGGAAGGCAGUGUUCAGUGGGUCCACCAAUUCUGUGUCCUGCAAAUGCCAGUACAAGACUGAAUUGGGUUUGACAAAGGCCACUGUGAAUGCAAAGAUGUUUGUCGAGGGAACUUUGGCUGUUGAACCGAGCACAACAAAUGCAGAACAAAGGGAAAGCCUGGAUUUAUGGAAAUCAAAUGGCACAGCAGAAAGAAAGAGGGAAGGGAAUCCUGGUAAAAAUGGGAAUCCCCAAUCAGGGAAAUCUACAGGCAUUGAAUGCCAAACUAUUUUCUUGUCUGAUAGUGAAUCUGAGACUGAUCGCCCAUACACUAAUGGGGCGAAGAGCUUGCCAUUGUCAAAACCCCCAUCACUGUGCCUGCCCAGCAAGUGCCCAAACAUUGUUGAAGUUGAAAUUGAAGAUGUCUUCUCGAGCUAUGAAGACUUUCUCAAAGUAUCCACCCCAAUGUCUGAGCUAGUGUGGGACAAUGUACAGCCAAAGCAGCAACUACCAGGUCCACUCCAGAAACAAAUGGAAUGUGUACAAGCACUUAGUGUCUCUUUGGAAGAAAGGAACCUUGGGGGUAGUGAAGUCAUUCCUACAGUUACCAUUCCUACUUCUAAUCUGCUACGCCAACCAGAGAAAGAGAAAAUCAGUUUUCUAACAUCACUCUCCUUGGCACAAAGAUGUCACAAGCAUCUAUCGCCUAAAUUAAAUUGUAGCUGGAAGGUUAAACAAAAAGGGGUUGGACACAAGAGAUGUGUUGAAGGUCCUCAUUCUGUCCCAAGAAAGCGAAGGAAAAUAAGGCAAGGUUUGGGUCCCUUCAUUCAACUUGUUCCUGAGGUCAACUUGACUGACACAGAUGACGAUUUCGAGUCCCCCAAUACAAGUGCUUCUAAGUCUUUGGAAGAAGACCGACCUUCAAACAGUCGCAAUCUCCAGAAGCCAGCAGAACCUGGAAUUGGGACCAAGAUUUCAAGGGUCACAACAGUAAGUCUGGCCUUGUUUGGUUCCUCGCCCCAGAGGACAAAUGGGACUGUAGUAACUGGCCAACGCAAGGACCAUAAUUCUUCUCGACCUAGACCUUUUGCAGACAAAGCUCCAGCACCUCCUUUAACCCUCAUUGUGAAUGUCAAGUCCUGGAGGAUAGAGCCCUCCGAGACCAGCCCGCCAGUGGAAAGCCCAGUCAGACAACGGCUCUUCAACGAGUGGGAGAACAGUUUUGUGCCAACAAAGAAGACAAAGUCCAGGGGCAGACCAAGACUACGAAACAGAAGAGGCUUUGCUCCGAAGAUUGUUUGUGCUGAAGUUGCCAAAAAGACUGUUACCUCGACCAACACAGAUGGUAGUGCAUUAUCCUCUGAAAGACGAGCCACACCAGAAAGAACCGUAAGGGUCAAGCAGACUUUGCGGCACUUUGAAAGAGAGAGAAUCUUAAAUGGCCUGAAACUCAGACUGAAGAAAUCUAGGAUCAAGGCAGUGCCAUCCAGCAAACCUGUUACAGUGGAAAAAAGUACAAUUAAGAUCAGGAGCCCUGCUCUUUUGCCUCUUGAGGAGAACAGUGUUCUGAGGUUCAGUGUGCUGCCAGAGUCGUUCAACUUCAAAGAUGGACAAGAACCCAUGGACACUCGGACACAGACUGGUUCAAUGAAGGAAAUGGCUGGUGCUGGUGCUGUUGCUGCGAUGACUGAGAGUACUAAAACAAUAGUCCGGAAAUCCCAAGUAGGUUUAUGGUCUGCUGGCCCUCAGAAGAGAUAUUGUCCUCUCACCUCUUCGCCCACUAAAAUCCCCAAGUCUUCCUCCACUGCCUUCCAGGAGUUUCAGAGGAAAUUCAAGCGGCUAUCCCAAGACUAGUUUGUAUUGCCUCCAGUUAAGGAAUGGAGGAGUGGAGUGAGGACUGUUGACAAUCUGAUUCUUGUAACUUGUUUCCCAUGGAAAUAUAGUCUGUGUAGAAUUUCAUUUUGUUUUGUUUAUGAUAACCUUUUUCAUAACAAAAUUGUUAUUUUCGAAUGCAGAAUUUGACCUUAUUGUGGUAAGGUUGGGCAGUUCAUAAUAUGGUUAUUUUUUAUCGUAGUUAUUGUUUAUAUUCUUAAAUGACUGAGCCAAUAUAUCUGACAGUAUCCUCCUCUACCUCAGGCCUCACGGUCAACAUUGCAAGACUUUGUCAUUAAAAAACAUUAAAUGAAGUUUUGUGGCCAAUUGGAUGGCUAUUUUCUUGUCACUGUCAUUUCAGACUUUUAAAAAAAGUUUGGGGUUAACAAUAUUUUAUGCAAACCUCAUGUUUAUUGUUUGCAUGGAUCACAGAAUUUGGACUAUGCCAAAUGUACUGCAGUUUAUUUGAAUUUGUAGGCUACAUAAUUUCACUUCUUGACUCUUACCUUCUACAUUCUCAUAUCUUAUCAAUAGUUUCAUUCUCAAUAGUUAUUUUGCUGGAAUUCAAACCGAUUCCUUUUGUUGACACAGGAUGAACAGGAUUGUAAUGGUUCAAGAUACUGAGACAGCUUAACCAAUGUUGCAUUGCAGUAGUUAGACCUUUUUGUAUUCUGGUUCUGUAUUUUAGUAUUAAACUUUUAUACUUCUUCGUAGUUAUAGAUUCACAUUUGUGACAGACAACUGAGCGUGUGGCAGACAAAAACAAUCAACACUGUCAGGGAACGUGAGUCAUUAGUAACCUGGUGCAUUGAUGUAUAUCUUUUUUGUGCCUAGUGUUAUUUCUUUAUGUUGAUUUAUUUUGUUAUUUGUUUCUAAAUAAAUAUUUUACAUACUUACAUUGAUAUUUAUCUCUAGAGCAUCUUUCACUUGGAUAUUCUUGUUGACUUUAGAGUGUACUGUAGUAUAUCCCUAAUAUAUUAGUCACUCAUAGCCUAGCAGAGUUUGCCUGCAACCCUAUAAUUAAAACACACCCCAGGACUGAGACUUAGGGGGCUAUUGCUCAAGACAUACUUCUGCAUUAACACAAACACAUUCUGUCCUCAGCAGAUUCUAACUGCAUAAGCAACUGUAGAACACCAAACUCAUCUGUCUGACUGAAGCUAUCACAUGCGUCCCUGUCAAAACAGGGAAACUGCCUAGCCUUCUUGCGCCACUGUCAGUUCCAGUUCCCCUUAUCUCAACUCCUGGAUACACACAGACACACAGACAUCUCAACGCACACACACCCCACACCCAAUUCAACUGAGCACCCAAUUCAACUGAGCAGGAGCCAGGAUCAGACGACUUCAAGAAGCACCAAUGAG